GAACUUACAUGAAUUGACGGGGGCCCGCACAAGCGGUGGAGUAUGUGGUUAAUUCGAUGCAACGCGAAGAACCUUACCUGGUCUUGACAUCCCGGAGACCCUUAGGAAACUAGGGGGUGCUUCCAUCUGGAAGAAUCUGGAGACAGGUGCUGCAUGGCUGUCGUCAGCUCGUGUCGUGAGAUGUUGGGUUAAGUCCCGCAACGAGCGCAACCCUUGCCUUUAGUUGCCAGCAGUUCGGCUGGGCACUCUAAAGGGACUGCCGGUGUUAAACCGGAGGAAGGUGGGGAUGACGUCAAGUCCUCAUGGCCUUUAUGACCAGGGCUACACACGUACUACAAUGGCCGAUACAAAGGGCAGCGACACUGCGAGGUGAAGCCAAUCCCGUAAAAUCGGUCUCAGUCCGGAUUGGAGUCUGCAACUCGACUCCAUGAAGUUGGAAUCGCUAGUAAUCGUGGAUCAGCAUGCCACGGUGAAUACGUUCCCGGGCCUU
RNAcentral lists this ribosomal RNA (490 nucleotides) under uncultured Desulfobulbus sp. Its description in RNAcentral is "bacterial SSU rRNA". It matches the Rfam family "Bacterial small subunit ribosomal RNA", at positions 897 to 1382 of the family's 1533-position model. The record is from RNAcentral. Lineage: Bacteria; Pseudomonadati; Thermodesulfobacteriota; Desulfobulbia; Desulfobulbales; Desulfobulbaceae.